CGCGUGCAGGAUGAAGGCUUCGGGUUGUAACUGCUUUUGUACGGAACGAAAAGACUCUGGUUAAUACCUGGGGUCCAUGACGGUACCGUAAGAAUAAGCACCGGCUAACUACGUGCCAGCAGCCGCGGUAAUACGUAGGGUGCAAGCGUUAAUCGGAAUUACUGGGCGUAAAGCGUGCGCAGGCGGUUAUGUAAGACAGAGGUGAAAUCCCCGGGCUCAACCUGGGAACUGCCUUUGUGACUGCAUAGCUGGAGUACGGCAGAGGGGGAUGGAAUUCCGCGUGUAGCAGUGAAAUGCGUAGAUAUGCGGAGGAACACCGAUGGCGAAGGCAAUCCCCUGGGCCUGUACUGACGCUCAUGCACGAAAGCGUGGGGACAAACAGGAUUAGAUACCCUGGUAUCCCGCCCUAAACGAUGUCACUGGUUGUUGGGUCUUCCUGACUCA
RNAcentral lists this ribosomal RNA (444 nucleotides) under uncultured bacterium. Its description in RNAcentral is "bacterial SSU rRNA". It matches the Rfam family "Bacterial small subunit ribosomal RNA", at positions 398 to 842 of the family's 1533-position model. The record is from RNAcentral.